AUGAAGCAUGAUGGAAAAUAUAACCCAAAAAUUGGGUCUGUGUAUUUGUGUGCGUGGUUAAGAGAGAGAAAGGAGAAGAAAAUAGUUCUUCAUCUUACAUCAAUAAAAUUCAACAAUUGGUAAGAAGAAAAUGGAUGGAUCAUAUGCAUGAACCCUAAAGAUUGAUCAGCUAAGAUUUUGCAACAAAAGGAAUAAAGGAAGAAGGGUCGAGCCACACGAAGCAACAAGGAGCCCAAGACCAAGGUAAAACCGCACUUUGAGCGGACUCGCGAUGCUUGGAACGAACACACGCGCAAGCUUCCUUCUUGCCCUUAAUGCGCUUCCGAAAUAGCUUAUGUUAUGGGUCAAAACGUUUGGUUGUCUAUACAGUUAAAAUCUAGUGGUUAAUUAUGUUCCAAAUCAUGUACUUUAUAAUUUUUGUGAAAUGGUAAACGGUUAAAUCUGGCUUUAAGAACUUAGCUUUGUAUAUUUUGAUCAAAUAUUAAGUAAAGUUUAAAAGUUCAAA
RNAcentral lists this long non-coding RNA (505 nucleotides) under Helianthus annuus (common sunflower). Lineage: Eukaryota; Viridiplantae; Streptophyta; Magnoliopsida; Asterales; Asteraceae. The record is from RNAcentral.